Molecule: long non-coding RNA, 426 nt
Organism: Octopus sinensis (East Asian common octopus)
Lineage: Eukaryota; Metazoa; Mollusca; Cephalopoda; Octopoda; Octopodidae
Exons: 3
Source: RefSeq, a predicted model, not a curated record
CAUUUUUGAAGGCAGUCUGUACUGUUCGUGGUGCCCCCACCGGUGUCCUAUUCAUUAGUGUACCUCAUGUACAAAGUGCAUUCAUUCAACAUCAGAUUGUAUUACAGGUGGGAACAGCCUGAUUUCGGUGAAUGUUGAAGUGGUGCCGAAACUCAUGCUGAACUGCUGUUACAGACUUGUUAUUCUUCACCUAACUGUCAUAAGCAAAUGUGAUGUACUAUCAUCCACAAUGCCAUGGCUUCACCUGGAAAGAAAAGAAAAUGCUAAGACACCACAGACCAAAUGGCAUUUGUUGGACAUAUGUCUCUCCCGCUGGGGCUGAGUAAUAACCAUUUCAAAAACGUUUGUCCUCUUUGCCUCACCCUGUAUUGCUCAGCAUUGAAAGGAAAAUACUGCAGAUGUAACUAAAUGGGGCUAGAUGAUUGU